GUUUGCAGGCUGGGAGGGGGUUGUAGGGUGUGGAGUCAUGAGGUUGGCCAAGCUCGGUUACAAAAUCCAAAGGCCUUGUCAAUUGAGGCCAGAAUAAGAAACAAUAGAGAAUGUCUCAGAGUUAAGUAGGUGCCACAGGGGUUGAUCAUUUCUUCCUGUUUCUGCGAUCUUACAGCCAUUUCAUGUUUUCUAAUUCUGUAAGGCCCUCCAGAGGUGUACAUGUAGUUCACGGGGGUUGCCAUGCCAUCCACAGCACGGUCAGACCUUACACAAUUAACAGGUAUUUUCCUGGAAUUUAAGCUUUAACUGAUUACCUAAAGUCUUGACUGCUGUCUCUUCUCCCCAGUAAGUGACAAGAUAUGGGGCUGAAAUGCUUGUUGCUUACAAAAUCAGUAGUCUGGAGAAGUAACAGAACAUGCACAUGUUAUAAUACUGAUUUUUGUGAUUUCGAGGUGAUGAAAGCCUCUGUCUUUCUGGCCUCAGAUUCCUCCUUCUGGCCUCAAAUUCCUUCAGUUUUCUAUGGGAGGAUUCUUUGGGAAAUCAAACCAUAAAGAAAAACAAGUAUGUGAUUGUCAAAAAAAAAAAAAUUGAUAGUUUCUCUUUCUGCUAGAGGGGCAUACGGAGGGCUUCUGAGGGCUGGCAAUGUUCUUUUUUUUUGUUGACCUGAUAGUAACAUAGGGUUUCAUUUUACAAUAGUUUAUUAAACUUUACGAGUAGUUUUGUGCA
Sapajus apella (tufted capuchin) is the source of this 726-nucleotide long non-coding RNA. RefSeq lists it as uncharacterized. The record is from RefSeq and is a predicted model, not a curated record. NCBI's taxonomy places the organism in Eukaryota, Metazoa, Chordata, Mammalia, Primates, Cebidae. The transcript has 2 exons.